UGCCAGCCGCCGCGGUAAUACGGAGGGUGCGAGCGUUAAUCGGAAUUACUGGGCGUAAAGAGUUCGUAGGCGGUUAAGUAAGUUAGAUGUGAAAGCCCUGGGCUCAACCUAGGAAUUGCAUUUGAUACUGUUUAACUAGAGUACAGAAGAGGAGAGGGGAAUUUCCAGUGUAGCGGUGAAGUGCGUAGAGAUUGGAAGGAACACCAGUGGCGAAGGCGACUCUCUGGGCUGAUACUGACGCUGAGGAACGAAAGCAUGGGUAGCAAACAGGAUUAGAUA
This 279-nucleotide ribosomal RNA is filed under the name uncultured bacterium. RNAcentral describes it as "partial 16S ribosomal RNA". It matches the Rfam family "Bacterial small subunit ribosomal RNA", at positions 506 to 784 of the family's 1533-position model. The record is from RNAcentral.